CCUACGGGGGGCAGCAGUGAGGAAUAUUGGUCAAUGGGCGUAAGCCUGAACCAGCCAAGUCGCGUGAGGGAUGAAGGUUCUAUGGAUCGUAAACCUCUUUUAUAAGGGAAUAAAGUGUGGGACGUGUCCUGUUUUGUAUGUACCUUAUGAAUAAGGAUCGGCUAACUCCGUGCCAGCAGCCGCGGUAAUACGGAGGCUCCGAGCGUUAUCCGGAUUUAUUGGGUUUAAAGGGUUCGUAGGCGGCCUUUUAAGUCAGCGGUGAAAGUCUGUGGCUCAACCAUAGAAUUGCCGUUGAAACUGGGAGGCUUGAGUAUGUGUGAGGCAGGAGGAAUGCGUGGUGUAGCGGUGAAAUGCUUAGAUAUCACGAAGAACCCCGAUUGCGAAGGCAGCCUGCCAAGCCAUGACUGACGCUGAUGCGCGAAAGCGUGGGGAGCAAACAGGAUUAGAUACCCGUGUAGUC
This 460-nucleotide ribosomal RNA is filed under the name uncultured bacterium. RNAcentral describes it as "partial 16S ribosomal RNA". It matches the Rfam family "Bacterial small subunit ribosomal RNA", at positions 338 to 795 of the family's 1533-position model. The record is from RNAcentral.